Molecule: ribosomal RNA, 253 nt
Filed under: uncultured bacterium
Lineage: Bacteria
Description: partial 16S ribosomal RNA
Rfam family: Bacterial small subunit ribosomal RNA
Source: RNAcentral
UACAGAGGUCCCAAGCGUUGUUCGGAUUCACUGGGCGUAAAGGGUGCGUAGGUGGUGAGCUAAGUUGGGUGUGAAAUCUCCGGGCUUAACCCGGAGGGUGCGCUCAAAACUGGUUCGCUAGAGGAUGGGAGGGGAGACUGGAAUUCUCGGUGUAGCAGUGAAAUGCGUAGAUAUCGAGAGGAACACCGGUGGCGAAGGCGAGUCUCUGGACCAUUCCUGACACUGAGGCACGAAAGCCGGGGGAGCAAACAGG